AUUGAACGCUGGCGGAAUGCUUUACACAUGCAAGUCGAACGGCAGCACGGGGGCAACCCUGGUGGCGAGUGGCGAACGGGUGAGUAAUACAUCGGAACGUGCCCGGUCGUGGGGGAUAACGUAGCGAAAGUUACGCUAAUACCGCAUACGAUCUGAGGAUGAAAGCGGGGGACCUUCGGGCCUCGCGCGAUCGGAGCGGCCGAUGUCAGAUUAGGUAGUUGGUGGGGUAAAGGCCUACCAAGCCGACGAUCUGUAGCUGGUCUGAGAGGACGACCAGCCACACUGGGACUGAGACACGGCCCAGACUCCUACGGGAGGCAGCAGUGGGGAAUUUUGGACAAUGGGCGCAAGCCUGAUCCAGCCAUUCCGCGUGCAGGACGAAGGCCUUUGGGUUGUAAACUGCUUUUGUAUGGAACGAAAAGGCUCUGGCUAAUACCUGGGGCUCAUGACGGUACCGUAAGAAUAAGCACCGGCUAACUACGUG
Molecule: ribosomal RNA, 484 nt
Filed under: uncultured bacterium
Lineage: Bacteria
Description: partial 16S ribosomal RNA
Rfam family: Bacterial small subunit ribosomal RNA
Source: RNAcentral